ACCAGACUCCUACGGGAGGCAGCAGUGGGGAAUAUUGCACAAUGGGGGAAACCCUGAUGCAGCGACGCCGCGUGAGUGAAGAAGUAUUUCGGUAUGUAAAGCUCUAUUAGCAGGGAAGAAAUAGCGACCUUUGGGUCGCCAGACGGUACCUGACUAAGAAGCCCCGGCUAACUACGUGCUAGCAGCCGCGGUAAUACGUAGGGGGCAAGCGUUAUCCGGAUUUACUGGGUGUAAAGGGAGCGUAGACGGCAGCGCAAGGCUGAAGUGAAAGCCCAUGGCUUAACCAUGGAACUGCUUUGGAAACUGUGCAGCUGGAGUGCAGGAGAGGGAAGCGGAAUUCCUAGUGGAGCGGUGAAAUGCGUAGAUAUUAGGAGGAACACCAGUG
This 385-nucleotide ribosomal RNA is filed under the name uncultured bacterium. Its description in RNAcentral is "bacterial SSU rRNA". It matches the Rfam family "Bacterial small subunit ribosomal RNA", at positions 330 to 714 of the family's 1533-position model. The record is from RNAcentral.